RNAcentral lists this long non-coding RNA (558 nucleotides) under Mytilus galloprovincialis (Mediterranean mussel). Lineage: Eukaryota; Metazoa; Mollusca; Bivalvia; Mytilida; Mytilidae. The record is from RNAcentral.
GAUACAUGUAUAUCAACUUUUGAUGUAAAAAUCCUGUUCAUUUGGUGAAAAAGUAUGCCAAAAAUAGUUACUAUAUAAUAUGUACUUGUUUAUUUAUUUAUUUUAAAAAAAAAAAGGUCACUAGGUUAGAACCCAAGAGUCAGUUUCACAAAAAAAACUUAGGAUUAAGGUUGAUCAUAAAUCGUGAACAAUUCAGUAUACUUACGGUAAAUAUUAGAAGUAAGUUUUUUUGUGAAACUGACUCCAAGUCUUUAGUUUUAUAAAAGAUUGUAUAGGAAAAUUAAAUGAAUUCUGUCCAAAGACUGAAUACAUUACUGUUCUAAAUUUGCUACUAAGAUUGAAUAAGAUAAAAAUGAUAUGAGACUGUUAGUGCUAUUUGACAAUCAUUCGUAAUGUGGUCAUCUAAAGGAUGCCGAUGUUAACCCAACCAUUAUUAUGUACAUAGAUCAUGUAUGGCUGAAUUGUUUGUGGAUGACUAAACAUUGCUCAUUUAUAUUCUAUGUCAUGUUAUUUAUUUUGUUCUUGUUGAUUUGCUAAUAAAAAAGAUGAUGUCACCUU